Eriocheir sinensis (Chinese mitten crab) is the source of this 1324-nucleotide long non-coding RNA. RefSeq lists it as uncharacterized. NCBI's taxonomy places the organism in Eukaryota, Metazoa, Arthropoda, Malacostraca, Decapoda, Varunidae. The transcript is spliced from 2 exons. The record is from RefSeq and is a predicted model, not a curated record.
CGAUCAGGAGAGACAGUUUGAUAGUAGAGACAAAUAUCACUCAAUAAACGGUCAAGCAAGUUUGGUUAUUUUGUGAGUCCCUAACACUAAACAUAGUACCACCAAACUGUCUCUCCUGAUUUACAGAACAGCCUUAAUAUAAUUAGCUAUACCCAUAUGGAGAAUUUCUUGAACAUGCUUGCAUUUGUCACUUUCAGUUAAACAUCUUAAGUUAUUCAUUUUAAGGAACAACUUGUAUUAAAAUCCUUCCUUCCUUUUCUUUCUUAACAUUUUUGUGAGGAAAGAAUGAUUUGUUUCAGAGGUCUGCAUCUAGUUAUUCUUAAGUUAUUCAUCUUAAGGAAUAACUUGUAUUAAAAUCCUUCCUUCCUUUUCUUUCUUAACAUUUUUGUGAGGAAAGAAUGAUUUGUUUCAGAGGUCUGCAUCUGGUUAUUUUUAAGUUAUUCAUCUUAAGGAAUAACUUGUAUUAAAAUCAUUCCUUCCUUUUCUUUCUUAACAUUUUUGUGAGGAAAGAAUGGAUGUCAAAAUGAUUAUGUCAGGAAGAAUGAUUUGUUUCAGAGGUCUGCAUCUGGUUAUUUUUAAGUUAUUCAUCUUAAGGAAUAACUUGUAUUAAAAUCAUUCCUUCCUUUUCUUUCUUAACAUUUUUGUGAGGAAAGAAUGAUUUGUUUCAGAGGUCUGCAUCUAGUUAUUUUUAAGUUAUUCAUCUUAAGGAAUAACUUGUAUUAAAAUCAUUCCUUCCUUUUCUUUCUUAACAUUGUGAGGAAAGAAUGUUUUGUUUCAGAGGUCUGCAUCUGGUUAUUUUUAAGUUAUUCAUCUUAAGGAAUAACUUGUAUUAAAAUCCUUCCUUCCUUUUCUUUCUUAACAUUUUUGUGAGGAAAGAAUGAUUGGUUUCAGAGGUCUGCAUCUAGUUAUUCUUAAGUUAUUCAUCUUAAGGAAUAACUUGUAUUAAAAUCAUUCCUUCCUUUUCUUUCUUAACAUUUUUGUGAGGAAAAAGUCAAAUUGAUUGUGUCAGGAAGAAUGUUUUGUUUCAGAGGUCUUUGCAUCUAGUUUAUGGAGCAUUUCAGACUUCGGCCUAUAAGGAAACAAAGGGAGACAAUAUUGUGCUUUAUGUUAUGGAAUGUCACAGAUUUGCUGGAACACACCCCUAUUUUUGUGCAUGACUGAUGUAGUUUGGAUCACUCAGUUACUUGGAGAUAUAAAGAACAAUGUUUAUCCAAUGAUGUAGACUGGGAUUCAGUGAUCUUAAAGGGAGAACUUUUGUAUUAUAAACUCUUCUUUUGCAUGCAUGUCAAAAAAUGAUGGUCAGGAAUAGAGACAAAGUAGUACA